GUCCCGUUCGUCUAGAGGCCUAGGACACCGCCCUUUCACGGCGGUAACACGGGUUCGAAUCCCGUACGGGACG
Molecule: transfer RNA, 73 nt
Filed under: Acetobacter aceti
Lineage: Bacteria; Pseudomonadati; Pseudomonadota; Alphaproteobacteria; Acetobacterales; Acetobacteraceae
Also listed under: 12 other names
Rfam family: tRNA
About the family: Transfer RNA (tRNA) molecules are approximately 80 nucleotides in length. Their secondary structure includes four short double-helical elements and three loops (D, anti-codon, and T loops).
Source: Rfam by way of RNAcentral